CUUGGUCAUUUAGAGGAAGUAAAAGUCGUAACAAGGUUUCCGUAGGUGAACCUGCGGAAGGAUCAUUACAUUCAGUAGCCCAGCUACUUGUUUACACCCUUGUUUUUUUGCGUACCUAUCGUUUCCUCGGCGGGCUUGCCUGCCGGUUGGACAACUUUAUAACCUUUUUAAAUCUUCAAUCAGCGUCUGAACAAUAUACAAUAAUUACAACUUUCAACAACGGAUCUCUUGGUUCUGGCAUCGAUGAAGAACGCAGCGAAAUGCGAUAAGUAGUGUGAAUUGCAGAAUUCAGUGAAUCAUCGAAUCUUUGAACGCACAUUGCGCCCCUUGGUAUUCCAUGGGGCAUGCCUGUUCGAGCGUCAUUUGUACCUUCAAGCUUUGCUUGGUGUUGGGUGCUUGUCUUUUUGUUAAGACUCACCUCAAAGUCAUUGGCAGCCAGUGUUUUGGUAGUAAGCGCAGCACAUUUUGCGUCUUGGUCCCUCAACAGCGGCAUCCAUCAAGCCAUUUUCUCACUUUUGACCUCGGAUCAGGUAGGGAUACCCGCUGAACUUAAGCAUAUCAAUAAGCGGAGGA
RNAcentral lists this ribosomal RNA (573 nucleotides) under fungal endophyte sp. g88. Its description in RNAcentral is "eukaryotic LSU rRNA". The stretch from base 209 to 362 matches the Rfam family "5.8S ribosomal RNA". The record is from RNAcentral. Lineage: Eukaryota; Fungi.